RNAcentral lists this ribosomal RNA (101 nucleotides) under uncultured bacterium. RNAcentral's name for it is "partial 16S ribosomal RNA". It matches the Rfam family "Bacterial small subunit ribosomal RNA", at positions 1384 to 1482 of the family's 1533-position model. The record is from RNAcentral.
UACACACCGCCCGUCACACCACGGAAGCAGGCAACACCCGAAGCCGGUGAGCUAACCCGCAAGGGAGGCAGCCGUCGAAGGUGGGGUCAGUGACUGGGGUG